This is a long non-coding RNA of Hypomesus transpacificus, 246 nucleotides long. RefSeq lists it as uncharacterized. The transcript has 3 exons. Lineage: Eukaryota; Metazoa; Chordata; Actinopteri; Osmeriformes; Osmeridae. The record is from RefSeq and is a predicted model, not a curated record.
UCUCUUUCUGUUCUCCUGCUCUUCCCUCCCAUUCUUUCUCCGCACCUCCUUUCCCCAGUCCCUCGCUCUCUUUACCUCCUUCACCAACCCUCUCUCUAUGUUACCCACUUUCUACUUCUUCCCACAUCUCUUCUCCUCAAGGUCUUCCCAAAAAUCAUUCCCCGGGAAAAAGAAAAAGAAUUUAAGGCUGCAAUUUCCUGUUUAAAAAGAGGGACGUUCAAAGCAGUGUAAAAGAAUGGGAGGAUA